Molecule: ribosomal RNA, 245 nt
Filed under: uncultured bacterium
Lineage: Bacteria
Description: partial 16S ribosomal RNA
Rfam family: Bacterial small subunit ribosomal RNA
Source: RNAcentral
AGAUGGCGACCGGCGCACGGGUGAGUAACACGUAUCCAACCUGCCGAUAACUCGGGGAUAGCCUUUCGAAAGAAAGAUUAAUACCCGAUGGCAUAAUUAGACCGCAUGGUCUUAUUAUUAAAGAAUUCGGUUAUCGAUGGGGAUGCGUUCCAUUAGGCAGUUGGUGAGGUAACGGCUCACCAACCUUCGAUGGAUAGGGGUUCUGAGAGGAAGGUCCCCCACAUUGGAACUGAGACACGGUCCAA